GACGAACGCUGGCGGCGUGCCUAAUACAUGCAAGUUGAGCGCUGAAGGUUGGUACUUGUACCAACUGGAUGAGCAGCGAACGGGUGAGUAACGCGUGGGGAAUCUGCCUUUGAGCGGGGGACAACAUUUGGAAACGAAUGCUAAUACCGCAUAAAAACUUUAAACACAAGUUUUAAGUUUGAAAGAUGCAAUUGCAUCACUCAAAGAUGAUCCCGCGUUGUAUUAGCUAGUUGGUGAGGUAAAGGCUCACCAAGGCGAUGAUACAUAGCCGACCUGAGAGGGGGAUCGGCCACAUUGGGACUGAGACACGGCCCAAACUCCUACGGGAGGCAGCAGUAGGGAAUCUUCGGCAAUGGACGAAAGUCUGACCGAGCAGCGCCGCGUGAGUGAAGAAGGUUUUCGGAUCGUAAAACUCUGUUGGUAGAGAAGAACGUUGGUGAGAGUGGAAAGCUCAUCAAGUGACGGUAACUACCCAGAAAGGGACGGCUAACUACGUG
Molecule: ribosomal RNA, 497 nt
Filed under: uncultured bacterium
Lineage: Bacteria
Description: partial 16S ribosomal RNA
Rfam family: Bacterial small subunit ribosomal RNA
Source: RNAcentral